AAUCAACGCUGGCGGCGCGCUUAACACAUGCAAGUCGAGCGAGAAAGCGGGAGCAAUCCUGUGAGUACAGCGGCGCACGGGUGAGUAACACGUGGAUGAUCUGCCUCUGAGUGGGGAAUAACCCUGGGAAACCGGGGCUAAGACCGCAUACGCCUGGGAAGGGAAAGCCGCAAGGCGCUCGGAGAGGAGUCCGCGGCCGAUUAGCUAGUUGGUGAGGUAAUGGCUCACCAAGGCGGGGAUCGGUAGCCGGCCUGAGAGGGCACACGGCCACACUGGC
This 277-nucleotide ribosomal RNA is filed under the name uncultured bacterium. RNAcentral describes it as "partial 16S ribosomal RNA". It matches the Rfam family "Bacterial small subunit ribosomal RNA", at positions 29 to 317 of the family's 1533-position model. The record is from RNAcentral.